AAUCCAUAGGUUAAUGAGGCGAACCGGGGGAACUGAAACAUCUAAGUACCCCGAGGAAAAGAAAUCAACCGAGAUUCCCCCAGUAGCGGCGAGCGAACGGGGAGGAGCCCAGAGCCUGAAUCAGCAUGUGUGUUAGUGGAAGCGUCUGGAAAGGCGCGCGAUACAGGGUGACAGCCCCGUACACAAAAGCGCAUGUGCUGUGAGCUCGAUGAGUAGGGCGGGACACGUGGUAUCCUGUCUGAAUAUGGGGGGACCAUCCUCCAAGGCUAAAUACUCCUGACUGACCGAUAGUGAACCAGUACCGUGAGGGAAAGGCGAAAAGAACCCCGGCGAGGGGAGUGAAAAAGAACCUGAAACCGUGUACGUACAAGCAGUGGGAGCACAGGUUUACCUGUGUGACUGCGUACCUUUUGUAUAAUGGGUCAGCGACUUAUAUUCUGUAGCAAGGUUAACCGAAUAGGGGAGCCGGAGGGAAACCGAGUCUUAAUUGGGCGUUAAGUUGCAGGGUAUAGACCCGAAACCCGGUGAUCUAGCCAUGGGCAGGUUGAAGGUUGGGUAACACUAACUGGAGGACCGAACCGACUAAUGUUGAAAAAUUAGCGGAUGACCUGUGGCUGGGGGUGAAAGGCCAAUCAAACCGGGAGAUAGCUGGUUCUCCCCGAAAGCUAUUUAGGUAGCGCCUCGUGAAUUCAUCUCCGGGGGUAGAGCACUGUUUCGGCUAGGGGGCCAUCCCGGCUUACCAACCCGAUGCAAACUGCGAAUACCGGAGAAUGUUAUCACGGGAGACACACGGCGGGUGCUAACGUCCGUCGUGAAGAGGGAAACAACCCAGACCGCCAGCUAAGGUCCCAAAGUCAUGGUUAAGUGGGAAACGAUGUGGGAAGGCCCAGACAGCCAGGAUGUUGGCUUAGAAGCAGCCAUCAUUUAAAGAAAGCGUAAUAGCUCACUGGUCGAGUCGGCCUGCGCGGAAGAUGUAACGGGGCUAAACCAUGCACCGAAGCUGCGGCAGCGACACUGUGUGUUGUUGGGUAGGGGAGCGUUCUGUAAGCCUGUGAAGGUGGCCUGUGAGGGUUGCUGGAGGUAUCAGAAGUGCGAAUGCUGACAUAAGUAACGAUAAAGCGGGUGAAAAGCCCGCUCGCCGGAAGACCAAGGGUUCCUGUCCAACGUUAAUCGGGGCAGGGUGAGUCGACCCCUAAGGCGAGGCCGA
This 1207-nucleotide ribosomal RNA is filed under the name Salmonella enterica. Its description in RNAcentral is "partial 23S ribosomal RNA". It matches the Rfam family "Bacterial large subunit ribosomal RNA", at positions 161 to 1405 of the family's 2925-position model. The record is from RNAcentral. Lineage: Bacteria; Pseudomonadati; Pseudomonadota; Gammaproteobacteria; Enterobacterales; Enterobacteriaceae. RNAcentral also lists the same sequence under 1 other name.